RNAcentral lists this ribosomal RNA (987 nucleotides) under Camarosporidiella arezzoensis. RNAcentral describes it as "SSU rRNA". It matches the Rfam family "Eukaryotic small subunit ribosomal RNA", at positions 131 to 1128 of the family's 1831-position model. The record is from RNAcentral. Lineage: Eukaryota; Fungi; Ascomycota; Dothideomycetes; Pleosporales.
CUUACUACUUGGAUAACCGUGGUAAUUCUAGAGCUAAUACAUGCUGAAAACCCCAACUUCGGGAGGGGUGUAUUUAUUAGAUAAAAACCAACGCCCUUCGGGGCUUCUUGGUGAUUUCAUGAUAACUUUACGGAUCGCAUGGCCUUGCGCCGGCGACGGUUCAUUCAAAUUUCUGCCCUAUCAACUUUCGAUGGUAAGGUAUUGGCUUACCAUGGUUUCAACGGGUAACGGGGAAUUAGGGUUCGAUUCCGGAGAGGGAGCCUGAGAAACGGCUACCACAUCCAAGGAAGGCAGCAGGCGCGCAAAUUACCCAAUCCCGACACGGGGAGGUAGUGACAAUAAAUACUGAUACAGGGCUCUUUUGGGUCUUGUAAUUGGAAUGAGUACAAUUUAAACCUCUUAACGAGGAACAAUUGGAGGGCAAGUCUGGUGCCAGCAGCCGCGGUAAUUCCAGCUCCAAUAGCGUAUAUUAAAGUUGUUGCAGUUAAAAAGCUCGUAGUUGAAACUUGGGUCUGGCUGGCAGGUCCGCCUCACCGCGUGUACUUGUCCGGCCGGGCCUUCCUUCUGGAGAACCUCAUGCCCUUCACUGGGCGUGUUGGGGACCAGGACUUUUACUUUGAAAAAAUUAGAGUGUUCAAAGCAGGCCUUUGCUCGAAUACGUUAGCAUGGAAUAAUAGAAUAGGACGUGCGGUCCUAUUUUGUUGGUUUCUAGGACCGCCGUAAUGAUUAAUAGGGACAGUCGGGGGCAUCAGUAUUCAAUUGUCAGAGGUGAAAUUCUUGGAUUUAUUGAAGACUAACUACUGCGAAAGCAUUUGCCAAGGAUGUUUUCAUUAAUCAGUGAACGAAAGUUAGGGGAUCGAAGACGAUCAGAUACCGUCGUAGUCUUAACCGUAAACUAUGCCGACUAGGGAUCGGGCGAUGUUCUUUUUCUGACUCGCUCGGCACCUUACGAGAAAUCAAAGUUUUUGGGUCUGGGGAGAUCCACGG